CCUACGGUCGGCAGCAGUGAGGAAUAUUGGUCAAUGGGCGCGAGCCUGAACCAGCCAAGUAGCGUGAAGGAUGACUGCCCUACGGGUUGUAAACUUCUUUUAUAAAGGAAUAAAGUGAGGCACGUGUCCCUUUUUGUAUGUACUUUAUGAAUAAGGAUCGGCUAACUCCGUGCCAGCAGCCGCGGUAAUACGGAGGAUCCGAGCGUUAUCCGGAUUUAUUGUGUUUAAAGGGAGCGUAGAUGGGUUGUUAAGUCAGUUGUGAAGGUUUGCGGCGCAACCGUAAAAUUGCAAUUGAUACUGGCAGCCUUGAGUACAGAUGAGGUAGGCGGAAUUCGUGGUGUAGCGGUGAAAUGCUUAGAGAUCACGAAGAACUCCGAUUGCGAAGGCAGCCUACUAAACUGCAACUGACAUUGAUGCGCGAAAGUGUGGGUAUCAAACAGGAUUAGAUACCCGGGUAGUC
This 460-nucleotide ribosomal RNA is filed under the name uncultured bacterium. RNAcentral's name for it is "partial 16S ribosomal RNA". It matches the Rfam family "Bacterial small subunit ribosomal RNA", at positions 338 to 795 of the family's 1533-position model. The record is from RNAcentral.